This 253-nucleotide ribosomal RNA is filed under the name uncultured bacterium. RNAcentral describes it as "partial 16S ribosomal RNA". It matches the Rfam family "Bacterial small subunit ribosomal RNA", at positions 524 to 776 of the family's 1533-position model. The record is from RNAcentral.
UACGAAGGGUGCUAGCGUUGUUCGGAAUCACUGGGCGUAAAUCGCGCGUAGGCGGCGUCGCAAGUCAGAGGUGAAAGCCUGGAGCUCAACUCCAGAAUUGCCUUUGAAACUGCGGUGCUAGAGUGUCGGAGGGGAUAGCGGAAUUGCUAAUGUAGAGGUGAAAUUCGUAGAUAUUAGCAGGAACACCGGUGGCGAAGGCGGCUAUCUGGACGACAACUGACGCUGAGGCGCGAAAGCGUGGGGAUCAAACAGG